AUUGAACGCUGGCGGCAGGCCUAACACAUGCAAGUCGAGCGGAUGAAGGGAGCUUGCUCCUGGAUUCAGCGGCGGACGGGUGAGUAAUGCCUAGGAAUCUGCCUGGUAGUGGGGGAUAACGUCCGGAAACGGGCGCUAAUACCGCAUACGUCCUGAGGGAGAAAGUGGGGGAGCUUCGGACCUCACGCUAUCAGAUGAGCCUAGGUCGGAUUAGCUAGUUGGUGGGGUAAAGGCCUACCAAGGCGACGAUCCGUAACUGGUCUGAGAGGAUGAUCAGUCACACUGGAACUGAGACGCGGUCCAGACUACUACGGGAGGGAGCAGUGGGGAAUAGUGGACAGUGGGCGGAAGCCUGAUCCAGCCAUGCCGCGUGUGUGAAGAAGGUCUUCGGAUUGUAAAGCACUUUAAGUUGGGAGGAAGGGCAGUAAGUUAAUACCUUGCUGUUUUGACGUUACCAACAGAAUAAGCACCGGCUAACUUCGUG
RNAcentral lists this ribosomal RNA (484 nucleotides) under uncultured bacterium. RNAcentral describes it as "partial 16S ribosomal RNA". It matches the Rfam family "Bacterial small subunit ribosomal RNA", at positions 30 to 507 of the family's 1533-position model. The record is from RNAcentral.